ACUAUCCACAAAAUUUGCUUGGAUCGAAGUCUUGAAAAAUUCUCGAUCACACUUCCAUUAGUCUAUCACUAUCAGUUCUGUGUUAUAACGUGGAGAAGUAACGUAUUGGAAGCCAUAAUUUCAAUUAUAACACUUUGUGAGAUAAGUUACAAUUUGCAAAGGAGUAAUAGUCUAAUCAUUUGUGAACAGAUCAAAUUUUGUCGUAGUUUUUAUUAUUUUUAAAAUUAAAGUCAAUUUAUUUUUUCAUUUAAUAUUUAACAAACCUAAAAUAACAUGAAUUUUAUAGCAAAUAUCUGGAAGGGUACUGGUAGUGGUAGCAAUAAAGAAACGCGCAAAGAUGAGCUAGGAGUAGGAGGGACUUCGUCAGAAUCGAAAGUUCUCUGCAGUGAAGAAUCUUCAUUGAAACCUAAAGGAAACACCGAAAAUUUACUUGAGGAAGGCCGGACAGAGAGUACUGGAAGGAAAAGAAAAGAUAGCGGUAGUUCUGGCUCCACUUCUGGCCCAGAUUCUGAUUUAUCAGAAACUCCAGACAGCCCAGCAUUGAAGGAUGGUGCUGAUGAAACAGAAAAUUCAAAGCAAUCCAUUGGUGCUGGUACUGGUAGUAGCAUUGCAGGUGACCUGGAAGAGGUAUCGCAUAAAGCAAUUGAAUCAGCAAAGUCAUUUGGAAGCUUUCUCUUCUCUGUGGCCAACAAAGCUGGAAAGACUGUGUCAGAAACAGCUAAGCAGCUAAAGAAUAGUGUGGGUGAAAGUAGUCUGAUGGGGGACAAAGAACCUUCCAAAAAGUUUAAUUAUUCAAGUCUUCAAGACACUUCUAUACUUCCAUGGGUUGGGUGUGAAGAUGAAGAAAUGGUGAAAGAGCAGAUUUUGUCUUUGUCUCAGGAUAAGAAGAAUUUCUUACGUAGCCCUCCCUCUGGUGCUCAGUUCAACUAUGACCAUGAUAGUUUUCUUCCUAUAGUCAAAGCAUUAAUUGAAAAUGAUCCAAAUUUGGAGAGCAUGAAGCAGGAUUUGGUUCCAAAAUUAGUCACAGAGGAAAGUUUUUGGAAAAAUUACUUUUACAGAGUGUCUCUCAUCAAAAAGUCUUUCAAAACAAAUGUUCAAGCUGAAGGCAAAGGUAGCAGCAGUGAAGGUUCUUACAGUUCCUACUCAGUUUCCAGUUCUGAAGAAAGUGUUAAAGAGAAGCGGCAGAAUAUUCAUGAUUAUGAGGAGGAAAUGAAACUGCUUGGAAAAGAACCAACACCAGGGGAUGGUUAGUAAACAUAUCAUUUAACUGACAAAUUUAUGAAAACAUUCCUCUAAGUUCACUAUUGUAUUUUGCUGGAAAUAGAUAUUUGAUGUUAUGAAAAAAAAAUAUAGUAUCUAAAGGCUGUUGAUCCUUCAAAAAAACAAUGAAUUUGCUAUGUUAGUUUUAGAUAGUGUCUAAACAUUGAUUUGUGGCUGUAAAUUGUAUGUGGAACAUAGAUAUUUAAAGAUUUUUGCUUUAAAUUUUUGCAAACCUGGGAGUACUGAUGAUCACGAAUUACAAGGUUUUGAGGUGAUCCCUAAAAAUUUGAAGCUCUGAGGUUAUAACUGGAAGUAAUGUUUUUUUUUAAAGUUGACUAUCAUACACGUGAUAUUAUAUGUUUAAAAUUUUCUGAAAUUUCCUGUUUAUAAGAUUAUUACUUUGUAUUAUGAGGGCAGUGUAUAUUACUUAUAGAUAACUUAGGAAAUAUGGUAUGGACAACAUCUAUGACUUCCACCUAACACACUUUGUUGAGAACUAUUGUCACCUGGUAUCAGAAUCUUAGAAUUAAAUAUUUUGGAAAGACUUUUUUUCUUAAUGAAGUGUUUGAUUGUUGCAUAUAUAUUAAAUUUAUUAUGAAAACAACUUUCCAACUGUGAAUAUUUGUUAUUUAUUUUUCAUAUAUCAGAAUUGCUUUGAGAAUAGUAGACAAGGACUGACUUGUAUAUUUAUUGAGGUGAUACAGUUACAGAUUAGAAUAUUUCUUUUGUUGAUAAAUAUGCAAGUUCCUUCAUUAAGUGAAUGUGUUUAACAGAAGACAUUGCUCUUUAUUUUGAUUAGAUAUUGGAAUGCAUAGCCAGCAGGUAAAAUAGUGAUCUUGUUAAAAAAGAAAAUAUUUCAUUGUUAAUACAAUAGAUGACACCACUUUAUAACUGAAAACUUCCUGUUUGCCCAAAUUUGUAGCAAUAUUUUUCUCUUUUAUAAUUCAUCUUUAAAUUCUAAUGUCUACAAUUUCAGAAUUAUGAUGUAAAGUUUUGUUUUUGAAUUGUAUAUGUUAUGAAAAAAACAAAAACAUUCCUUUCUUUGUUAGAAAUUUUUGCAGAAUGGAUGUCAGCAAUUCAUUUAUUGAAAGUAGUUCUUUUGUUACAGAAGUGAGUGAACCUUUCUUGCUAUCUAGUCAAGUUACAAAUCUGAAAUGUGAUAUUUUUAAUUUGAGUACAUUCUUGUCUAUUUUGUUUGUUUUUAUUUCCCAACUGUCAGAUAUGCUUUGUGAAUAGUAGACAGGAGUUAAAUUAUAUUUUGUUUAUUGAUGUAUUACAGUUUAAUAAAGUUUUAAGGAAGGUGUUUUGAUCUGAAAUUUUUGAAUAUUGUGUAAAAAUAAAUCUUAAGAAAUAACUUUGUUUUUCAUUGAACUUUUCUUUAUAUAAUUUUAAAGAGUUUUCAAGAAUAUAAUGUAUGGCCAAAAUAUUUUUGGCCAUUUGGAGAAAGACUUGCCAGUUGGUACAAUUUAUGAAUUGCUAAUUUGCAGAAAAGUGUAAAAUUGUGCACAUGAGGAUGAAAUUGUGUAUUAUUUAUAACGUUGAGUAACCAUUUUUGUGUGUGUUAUCUGUAACCUUCAGCAACCAUUUGUGUUUGCUGUAUAAAUGGUUAUCUAGAUAAUGGCAGGGCGUCAAAAACCUUUAGAUAUUUAAUUUGGUGUUUUUCACUACAGAUAUGUAUAUUAUAAGUUAAAAGACCCUGGUUUUUGUUAAAAUGGAGCUAAAUGUUCUAUGUCAUUUAGUACAAAUGUUUGUAUGCAAUGGUUUUUGAGACUUAUCAAGCAUCGAAAAGGUUAAAUAAGCUUAGUUAUACUGAUGUUCUGUUACAAAAACUAAGAAGACUUUGUUUAUAUACAAUUUACAAAAAAUGUCAUUGUACAUUUUAUAAAUUUAUUGAACAUGAAGUAUUUUGAAGUUAAUUGGCAACUACCUAAUUUCUAUACUUAAAACAACUUUUUGUAAUGAAAACCUGUUUAUCCACCUUAGUAGCAUUAAAUAAUAUGCAUUCACAGUUUAAUGGUAUAUGAAACAUCACUUCUGAUAACUAGUUAUUGGCUUAAAAUUUGUUUUUUUUCAAAUUUCAUUUCUGAGAUAGGUUAGCAUUUUUCAUGCAUAUCUAGAGAUGGUGCCACCUGGAAGCAUUUUCUUGAUGUUCAUACUGAUAUUGUUUUGAAUGUGAAAUUGGAUAGUCCUAGUACGUAAUGGGUGAUUAUUUUCAGUUACAUAAAUUAUUACCAUAUAAAGCUAGAAUCCACAACAUAGAUUUAGAUAAUAGUUCCUUGUAACUGGUAUUUAUUCAAUUUUAUUUUAUCUUUUCUUUUACUUGAUGGUUUAGUAUAUUUAACUGUUGUAAUAAUUAAAUGUAGAUAUGGUUUGGAUGUGUUGUAUAUUAUAAAUGGAUAAAUAUCAGUGUUCAUAUGUGUUGUUAUAUCUUUUGCAUGCAUUUCUUCUGUGUGGUUGAAAUCAAAUUGUCAUUUUUUAAAUAGAAAGGAAUGGGUAACACAUUACAAACCACUAUAUGGUACAGAAUGUGUGUAAUUUUUAGGUUUACUAUUCAUGCUUAACAGUUCCUUUACAUUUCGUGUCUAAAUUUUUGAAAUGUACAACCAUUAAAUUUAUCAAGUAAAAUCUAAAAAUAUUAAGUAUAUCACCUUUCAUCUAGUAUUCUCUUGUUCAUACUUAUAAAAAAAAUUAAAGUCUGGUUUACAAAAUGGUAAAGUUAUAUUAUCUUGUAAAUGACUUCAGUAAUAUUUUCUCUCUACCAGUUUCCUUACAGUAUGUAGGGGUUAAGAGGUCUGUCAGGAAUGGGCUACAAAGUGAUUCCUCAGCAUAUUCCUUUAAGCAUUUUUUUUUCUGCAGUAUUUAACGAUGUGAGAGAUCAAUCUUCUUAGCAUUAUUUCUCUAGAAAUUGGUGAGGAAGACACCAGCUAUAGGUAACUACGUCUGAUCGACAAUAAUACGUGUAGUUUGAGAUUUUGACUUCAAAGUAAUAUUAAUAAUGGCAUCAUUAAAACAAUUGAUCGUGUAAGAGUUAUUGAUAACUUGUAAUAAUUUGAUAGAAUAUAUAUAUAUAUAUAUACAUAUAAUUAGGAAAUAAAAUUGAACCAAUCAUUUGAGAGUGGUAGAUUUGAUAUGAACUGAGGAACUGAACUGAUAAUUCUUUGUAUUAUCUUCACAUGUAUGAAAAUUAAAUAACUUAUUUUAGCCAGCAGAGUUCAUCACAUGCUCUAAUAAAUCAUGUACAGGUACUGGUUUCUUGGAAUUGACAUCUUGCAGCUGGGAUAGAUAUUGGUUCCGAACAUGAAUGUCUUAAGAUAUCAUUUGAGUGUGAUAAGUAUUUGUGACAGUUUUCUUUAUUUUAAGCUCCUUUUAUUAAAUGUAAUGUUUGUAUAGGAUUUGGUGUAAUAUUUCUUCCAUGAAUGUAAAUAAAAUAUUUAAAUCACUGA
This is an RNA transcript of Limulus polyphemus (Atlantic horseshoe crab), 4703 nucleotides long. It is a transcript of the gene named synapse-associated protein of 47 kDa-like, with no coding region annotated. Lineage: Eukaryota; Metazoa; Arthropoda; Merostomata; Xiphosura; Limulidae. The record is from RefSeq and is a predicted model, not a curated record. The transcript has 8 exons.